GGGAAGGUGGCUCAGUGGUAGAGCACUUGCCUUGCAUGCAUGAAGUCCUGGGUUCGAUUCCUCAGCCCCA
Molecule: transfer RNA, 70 nt
Filed under: Dipodomys ordii (Ord's kangaroo rat)
Lineage: Eukaryota; Metazoa; Chordata; Mammalia; Rodentia; Heteromyidae
Rfam family: tRNA
About the family: Transfer RNA (tRNA) molecules are approximately 80 nucleotides in length.
Source: Rfam by way of RNAcentral